Small nucleolar RNA from Oryctolagus cuniculus (rabbit), 88 nucleotides. Its record names the gene U3. It matches the Rfam family "Small nucleolar RNA U3". Rfam says of the family: Small nucleolar RNAs (snoRNAs) are involved in the processing and modification of rRNA in the nucleolus. There are two main classes of snoRNAs: the box C/D class, and the box H/ACA class. U3 snoRNA is a member of the box C/D class. Lineage: Eukaryota; Metazoa; Chordata; Mammalia; Lagomorpha; Leporidae. The record is from Ensembl.
AAGACUGUACUUCCAGGGAUCAUUUCUAUAGCUCGCUACUAGGGAAGUGCCUGUGCAGUAAGCUACAAUGUAUCUCCGCGCAGGGAGG